CCUACGGGAGGCAGCAGUGGGGAAUUUUGGACAAUGGGCGCAAGCCUGAUCCAGCCAUUCCGCGUGAGUGAUUAAGGCCUUCGGGUUGUAAAGCCCUUUUGUUGGGAAAGAAAUCCAGCUGGCUAAUACCCGGUUGGGAUGACGGUACCCAAAGAAUAAGCACCGGCUAACUUCGUGCCAGCAGCCGCGGUAAU
This 194-nucleotide ribosomal RNA is filed under the name uncultured bacterium. Its description in RNAcentral is "partial 16S ribosomal RNA". It matches the Rfam family "Bacterial small subunit ribosomal RNA", at positions 338 to 524 of the family's 1533-position model. The record is from RNAcentral.